Molecule: transfer RNA, 63 nt
Filed under: Microrhagus sp. ZM-2022
Lineage: Eukaryota; Metazoa; Arthropoda; Insecta; Coleoptera; Eucnemidae
Description: tRNA-Ala
Source: RNAcentral
AGGGUGAUAGUUUAAAAAAAACCUUUAAAUUGCAAUUAAAAAAUAUUGACAUAAUUCAUCUUA